Molecule: ribosomal RNA, 402 nt
Filed under: Actinomycetes bacterium
Lineage: Bacteria; Bacillati; Actinomycetota; Actinomycetes
Description: Actinobacteria bacterium partial 16S ribosomal RNA
Rfam family: Bacterial small subunit ribosomal RNA
Source: RNAcentral
UGGGGAAUAUUGGACAAUGGGCGCAAGCCUGAUCCAGCCAUGCCGCGUGAGUGAUGAAGGCCCUAGGGUUAAAGCUCUUUCACCGGUGAAGAUAAUGACGGUAACCGGAGAAGAAGCCCCGGCUAACUUCGUGCCAGCAGCCGCGGUAAUACGAAGGGGGCUAGCGUUGUUCGGAUUUACUGGGCGUAAAGCGCACGUAGGCGGACUUUUAAGUCAGGGGUGAAAUCCCGGGGCUCAACCCCGGAACUGCCUUUGAUACUGGAAGUCUUGAGUAUGGUAGAGGUGAGUGGAAUUCCGAGUGUAGAGGUGAAAUUCGUAGAUAUUCGGAGGAACACCAGUGGCGAAGGCGGCUCACUGGACCAUUACUGACGCUGAGGUGCGAAAGCGUGGGGAGCAAACAGG